GAUGAACGCUGGCGGCGUGCCUAACACAUGCAAGUCGAGCGAAAAGACGCGGCGCUUGCGCCUUUCACGUUAGCGGCGCACGUGUGUGAAACGUGUGUAUAACCUACCUGUAAGUCUGGGAUCACUUCGGGACACCGGCUCUUAUACCGGAGGAUAUAUUGAUGCGCAUGGGUCAAUAGUGAAAGUCGGCUGUGCUGUCAGUUAUAGAUGGAUCUGGGCCGCAUUAGCUAGUUGGUAAGGUAACGGCUUACCAAGGCUACGAUGCGUAGCCGACCUGAGAGGGGGGUAGGCCACAUGAGAGGGUAGACACGGUCAUGGCUCCUGCGGGAGGCAGCAGUAGCGAAUGGUACGCAGCGGGCGAGAGCUUGACGGAACAGGGGCGCGUGAGUGGUGACGGCGUCCCGAGCGUAAAACUCUGUUAUUAGGGGAGAACAAAUGUCGACGUAGCUGAGGACGUCUUGACGGUACCGGGUCAGAAAGCACCGGCUAACUACGUG
This 497-nucleotide ribosomal RNA is filed under the name uncultured bacterium. Its description in RNAcentral is "partial 16S ribosomal RNA". It matches the Rfam family "Bacterial small subunit ribosomal RNA", at positions 28 to 507 of the family's 1533-position model. The record is from RNAcentral.